AACUUUUAUGAGCAUGUGAUAUGAGGCUACAUUAUAGGUCACUUUUGACUUAUACCAUUGAACAAGUGAUUUUUCCAAACUUCAAAAAUGCAUAACUCUAUCAUCUCAAAUCCAAAUGACAUGAAAUUGGUGACAAUUUUGAAGGUCGUUGAAAGAUCUACAACUUUGAUGAAGACACUGUUCUCAUUUGAAGCACACAUAAAAAGUUAAGCAAGGUGGAAUAUUGAGAUAUAUGGCUUGACACUUAGAAAAAAUUUCAACAUCUUGAAAUUUCCA
This 276-nucleotide long non-coding RNA is filed under the name Lathyrus oleraceus (garden pea). RNAcentral's name for it is "Pisum sativum (pea) long non-coding RNA (PSAT_LNC014710)". Lineage: Eukaryota; Viridiplantae; Streptophyta; Magnoliopsida; Fabales; Fabaceae. The record is from RNAcentral.